RNAcentral lists this non-coding RNA (29 nucleotides) under Mus musculus (house mouse). The record is from RNAcentral. Lineage: Eukaryota; Metazoa; Chordata; Mammalia; Rodentia; Muridae.
UAGGCUCAAUCAUUGCUCUGUGGAUUUGC